UAUGGUCGCAUCACAUUGAAAACACCGGUUCCCGUACAAGUUAAGCAACAUUGUGCCUGGCAAGUACCUAGGUGGGCGACCGUUUGGGAAUACCAGAUAC
Acanthosepion pharaonis is the source of this 100-nucleotide non-coding RNA. Lineage: Eukaryota; Metazoa; Mollusca; Cephalopoda; Sepiida; Sepiidae. The record is from the annotation of a GenBank genome assembly.